CGGGGUGUGGCGCAGUUUGGUCAGCGCAACUGCUUUGGGAGCAGUGGGCCGGAGGUUCGAAUCCUCUCACCCCGACCA
RNAcentral lists this transfer RNA (78 nucleotides) under Deltaproteobacteria bacterium. Its description in RNAcentral is "tRNA-Pro". It matches the Rfam family "tRNA". From Rfam's summary of the family: Transfer RNA (tRNA) molecules are approximately 80 nucleotides in length. Their secondary structure includes four short double-helical elements and three loops (D, anti-codon, and T loops). The record is from RNAcentral. Lineage: Bacteria; Pseudomonadati; Myxococcota; Myxococcia.